This 460-nucleotide ribosomal RNA is filed under the name uncultured bacterium. RNAcentral describes it as "partial 16S ribosomal RNA". It matches the Rfam family "Bacterial small subunit ribosomal RNA", at positions 338 to 795 of the family's 1533-position model. The record is from RNAcentral.
CCUACGGGUGGCAGCAGUGAGGAAUAUUGGUCAAUGGACGAGAGUCUGAACCAGCCAAGUCGCGUGAAGGAUGACUGCCCUAUGGGUUGUAAACUUCUUUUAUAUGGGAAUAAAACGUUCCACGUGUGGGAUUUUGUAUGUACCAUAUGAAUAAGGAUCGGCUAACUCCGUGCCAGCAGCCGCGGUAAUACGGAGGAUCCGAGCGUUAUCCGGAUUUAUUGGGUUUAAAGGGGGCGUAGGUGGUGUGUUAAGUCAGUUGUGAAAGUUUGUGGCUCAACCGUAAAAUUGCAGUUGAAACUGGGAGUCUUGAGUACAGUAGAGGUGGGCGGAAUUCGUGGUGUAGCGGUGAAAUGCUUAGAUAUCACGAAGAACUCCGAUUGCGAAGGCAGUCCACUGGACUGCAACUGACACUGAGGCUCGAAAGUGUGGGGAUCAAACAGGAUUAGAUACCCUUGUAGUC